UGGCCAUAGACAAACAACGGAUGUGAUGCCGUCACCUCCAUAUUGACCUGCAAAAGAAAGGGGGGAAUACUUAAGGGUCUACAAAUUGAUAUCAAAUACGUGUAUCCACCUUUAAAUGCUGCGUUCCAUAGCUGAAGCUGAAAAUGCGGACUACGCAGCGCCGAUUGUAUAAAGUCCUCCGUACGAAUGUCCUCCACACGGCGCAUCACACCUGUGGAUAGCUCAAUGUAGGAGCCCUUGUGGAAGCAACUUUUAUCGUGCGAUUGUUGACUCAUCGUGUUGCAUCUGCAUCGUUGUACUCAUAUUCAGCUCUGACGAUCUGUUCCUCGGGAGUUGCAAUUGAAGACUGAAGUUCAUUCAAAUGAGCGCGCAGAUUUCCAUGGAUUUUCCACGAACAUUGCCCAUUCGCCAUUCCGCAUUCGCGCCUAGCGUCACUUGUCGUUACCUGUUUACUUUAUGACCCAAUCCAACUCCCACUCAAGGCCAGGUAGAGAGACGGAGGUUAGCUACCUAAAUUUCCGCUUAAUUUCCAUUGUCCAUUUGGCCCUCUGGCUGUUGCGCCAGGCGCCUUGGACAGACAUACACACACACACACACACACACACAGAGACAUUGUUUUUGCUAGUAGAUAUACAAAGUGUAAAAGAUUUAUUUGGUUUUACGUUUGCGUUUCGCUGCCGAGAAUUUCACUUGCGGCGCACGGCGUUUGGUCAAACUCGGCCAACUUGGCCACGCAAUGUCCAAAGCAUAGAUGUAGUAACGCACAAAGAAAUACAACACGCCCAGCGAUGAAUACAAUGAGGUGAGCAGCAGCGGCAUAAACGGCAAUUGCUGAUGGACGCCAAACAAGCGACUAAACAAGUGCUCGUACAGUGGAAUGGUGAGGAAGCCCAGGAAAUAGAUGCACUCGAGUAGGUGGAGCCCCAGCUUGGUGGCCUUAUAGAUACGCUCCAGCUGGCCAUAGAACAUGGCCAUGUAGGCCAAGUAGAGAGCAUAGCGUGGCACCAGAAGAUCCACCUCAAAGAGCAG
This is a long non-coding RNA of Drosophila sulfurigaster albostrigata, 1029 nucleotides long. RefSeq lists it as uncharacterized. The record is from RefSeq and is a predicted model, not a curated record. The transcript is spliced from 3 exons. NCBI's taxonomy places the organism in Eukaryota, Metazoa, Arthropoda, Insecta, Diptera, Drosophilidae.